This 107-nucleotide ribosomal RNA is filed under the name Propithecus coquereli (Coquerel's sifaka). Lineage: Eukaryota; Metazoa; Chordata; Mammalia; Primates; Indriidae. The record is from RNAcentral.
AUCUAUGGCCAUACCACUCUGAAUGCACCCGAUCUUGUUUAAUAUGGGAAGCUAAGCAGGGCCAGGCCUGGUGAGUACUUGGAUCAGAGAAAGAGAUUCCAUAUCAC